GAGCUGAUCUUUGACUCGAACCUGGACAUCGUUUUGUACACGAAUUCAAGCUGUUGUACCCGUGAUUCCAUGUAUCGAGUCAACGAUCGCCUUUAAAAAUGUGCUU
RNAcentral lists this microRNA precursor (106 nucleotides) under Caenorhabditis briggsae. RNAcentral describes it as "miRNA-54b". The stretch from base 3 to 91 matches the Rfam family "mir-54 microRNA precursor family". Lineage: Eukaryota; Metazoa; Nematoda; Chromadorea; Rhabditida; Rhabditidae. The record is from RNAcentral.